Long non-coding RNA from Hemibagrus wyckioides, 1418 nucleotides. RefSeq lists it as uncharacterized. The transcript has 2 exons. Lineage: Eukaryota; Metazoa; Chordata; Actinopteri; Siluriformes; Bagridae. The record is from RefSeq and is a predicted model, not a curated record.
AUGACGUGAUUAUUUCCUGUCUCAUAUCGCAUUGCAUUGCUCAAGCUGGACCGAAUGAAUCAGUAUUGAAUUAACUCGCGGUCAGAAUGAAUCGAAUUUUUUUUUUUUGCUUUAUUAUUUAUUUAUUUGCAUCUAGAGCUCGGCGUGAGAUAUUUUACUCCUGAUGUACACGGUGAUAUCAUCAGCCUGGAGAAGAUGGUUGAAUCCGAAGAGCCGAUGUGUUUAGCACGGACGAACUUCUGCACCGUUCCUCCUCGCGCCAGGCUGAGCGUGUUCACGUCGCGCGUGUGAAGUAUGAAGAAGAGUGUCAUGCCUCUCUAAAAUGCCGCAUCGGUGCUAAAAGGUGAGGACCAUCUUCUCCGAUUCAACUCCGCAACGCCGAGGCUUCCACAGCAGAGAAAUCCUGCCAUCACGCGCAUCACCGCAUUACCGAAGUUACACUCGAGGAACGCGCGUUUUCCCGUGCACGCGUAAUAACGACGACGAUUUCGCAUUCAAAUCACCAACGCUUCGUGAAAACAGUGAUCAAGCAGGCAGCGGAUGAAGCAUGUGUGUGUGUGGAUGUAUGUCAGUGUGUGUGUCCUCUUUCUCUCUCUCUCUCUCUCUAUCUCUCUCUCUCAGGGCGCGGAUGGUGCAGUGCUCUCCCGCAGCGCUCCCCGCAUGCACAGCCGCACAGGGUCGUGGUGGAUCCCGGGGACUCUGGGCAUGAGAUAGGAAUACACCUGACCCUGGAUGAGACAGCAGUUCAUCUCAGGAUACAGUGAUACACACACACACACACACACACACAUUCACAACUUGAGACAAUUUAUCUUCACCAAUUCAACUUCUGGCAUGUUUUCUCCUGCUGGUAGGAAACCGGAGAACCCAGAGGGAACCCAUGGGGAGAGAAGUGACACUGGGAGGCACAGAGCUGAGACACAUCUCCUUUUAAUUAUUUGUUUGUUUUUUAUUGAUUAUAUUGAUACUGAUGUUAUAUUGAUACUGUUACAUUUAUAUGUAUUUGAUGUAUGAAUUUUAUGUAUUAUAUAUGUAAUAAUAAUAAUAAUAAUAAUUCCUCCAAUUAUUUAUUUAUUUUAUAUUUAAUUUUAUUUAAUUUCAUUUCGUUUUAAUUAAUUAUUAUUUUUUUUAAAUAGGGAGGCUAUUUCUAUAUUUAUAAUGAUGGUAGACAAAGGUGGCGAUCAGUGCAAAAGUUUGUACCCCCCGUCAUUUCUGUGUAAGAACAGAAGAAAAAUGCAGCCCAGCAACAUCUGGCCUGUAAUCCAUGUAAGAUUAAAUCAGCAGAAAAAGUGCUGAGACCCUCUCUGUCUCCAGAAAAGGAGUGGGAACUUGAAAAGACGGUUUUAAUGAGUAUUUUAUUUUAUUCAGCCUUUUGUUUCUACAUCUGUAGAGACACAUUAAAUGGUUGUUUGGUGUCA